This 432-nucleotide ribosomal RNA is filed under the name uncultured bacterium. RNAcentral describes it as "partial 16S ribosomal RNA". It matches the Rfam family "Bacterial small subunit ribosomal RNA", at positions 29 to 506 of the family's 1533-position model. The record is from RNAcentral.
AACGAACGCUGGCGGCAUGCCUAACACAUGCAAGUCGAACGAGACCUUCGGGUCUAGUGGCGCACGGGUGCGUAACGCGUGGGAACCUGCCCUUAGGUUCGGAAUAACUCCCCGAAAGGGGUGCUAAUACCGGAUAAUGUCUUCGGACCAAAGAUUUAUCGCCUUUGGAUGGGCCCGCGUUGGAUUAGCUAGUUGGUAGGGUAAAAGCCUACCAAGGCGACGAUCCAUAGCUGGUCUGAGAGGAUGAUCAGCCACACUGGGACUGAGACACGGCCCAGACUCCUACGGGAGGAAGCAGUGGGGAAUAUUGGACAAUGGGCGAAAGCCUGAUCCAGCAAUGCCGCGUGAGUGAUGAAGGCCUUAGGGUUGUAAAGCUCUUUUACCCGGGAUGAUAAUGACAGUACCGGGAGAAUAAGCUCCGGCUAACUCCGU